RNAcentral lists this ribosomal RNA (569 nucleotides) under Blepiarda pr. apicalis ARC4881. RNAcentral describes it as "SSU rRNA". It matches the Rfam family "Eukaryotic small subunit ribosomal RNA", at positions 30 to 581 of the family's 1831-position model. Lineage: Eukaryota; Metazoa; Arthropoda; Insecta; Coleoptera; Curculionidae. The record is from RNAcentral.
GCUUGUCUCAAAGAUUAAGCCAUGCAUGUCUCAGUACAAGCCAAAUUAAGGUGAAACCGCGAAAGGCUCAUUAAAUCAGUUAUGGUUCCUUAGAUCGUACCCACAAUUACUUGGAUAACUGUGGUAAUUCUAGAGCUAAUACAUGCAAACAGAGCUCCGACCGGAGACGGAAGGAGUGCUUUUAUUAGAUCAAAACCAAUCGGUGGCGGGCUCGUCAUCGUACAACUUGGUGACUCUGAAUAACUUUACGCUGAUCGCACGGUCUUCGCACCGGCGACGCAUCUUUCAAAUGUCUGCCUUAUCAACUGUCGAUGGUAGGUUCUGCGCCUACCAUGGUUGUAACGGGUAACGGGGAAUCAGGGUUCGAUUCCGGAGAGGGAGCCUGAGAAACGGCUACCACAUCCAAGGAAGGCAGCAGGCGCGCAAAUUACCCACUCCCGGCACGGGGAGGUAGUGACGAAAAAUAACGAUACGGGACUCAUCCGAGGCCCCGUAAUCGGAAUGAGUACACUCUAAACCCUUUAACGAGGAUCAAUUGGAGGGCAAGUCUGGUGCCAGCAGCCGCGGUA